UACAGAGGUCCCAAGCGUUGUUCGGAUUCAUUGGGCGUAAAGGGUGCGUAGGCGGCGCGGUAAGUCGGGUGUGAAAUCUCGGGGCUUAACUCCGAAACUGCAUUCGAUACUGCCGUGCUUGAGGACUGGAGAGGAGACUGGAAUUUACGGUGUAGCGGUGAAAUGCGUAGAUAUCGGAAGGAACGCCGGUGGCGAAAGCGGCGGGCUGGACCUCUUCUGACGCUGAGGCGCGAAAGCCAGGGGAGCAAACGGG
RNAcentral lists this ribosomal RNA (253 nucleotides) under uncultured bacterium. Its description in RNAcentral is "partial 16S ribosomal RNA". It matches the Rfam family "Bacterial small subunit ribosomal RNA", at positions 524 to 776 of the family's 1533-position model. The record is from RNAcentral.